RNAcentral lists this ribosomal RNA (357 nucleotides) under uncultured Gammaproteobacteria bacterium. RNAcentral's name for it is "bacterial SSU rRNA". It matches the Rfam family "Bacterial small subunit ribosomal RNA", at positions 150 to 502 of the family's 1533-position model. The record is from RNAcentral. Lineage: Bacteria; Pseudomonadati; Pseudomonadota; Gammaproteobacteria.
CUGGAAACGGUAGCUAAUACCGCAUAACGUCGCAAGACCAAAGAGGGGGACCUUCGGGCCUCUUGCCAUCGGAUGUGCCCAGAUGGGAUUAGCUAGUAGGUGGGGUAACGGCUCACCUAGGCGACGAUCCCUAGCUGGUCUGAGAGGAUGACCAGCCACACUGGAACUGAGACACGGUCCAGACUCCUACGGGAGGCAGCAGUGGGGAAUAUUGCACAAUGGGCGCAAGCCUGAUGCAGCCAUGCCGCGUGUAUGAAGAAGGCCUUCGGGUUGUAAAGUACUUUCAGCGGGGAGGAAGGGAGUAAAGUUAAUACCUUUGCUCAUUGACGUUACCCGCAGAAGAAGCACCGGCUAACU